Molecule: ribosomal RNA, 497 nt
Filed under: uncultured bacterium
Lineage: Bacteria
Description: partial 16S ribosomal RNA
Rfam family: Bacterial small subunit ribosomal RNA
Source: RNAcentral
GAUGAACGCUGGCGGCGUGCCUAAUACAUGCAAGUCGAGCGAACGGACGAGAAGCUUGCCUCUCUGAUGUUAGCGGCGGACGGGUGAGUAACACGUGGAUAACCUACCUAUAAGACUGGGAUAACUUCGGGGAACCGGAUCUAAUACCGGAUGAUAUUUUGAACCGCAUGGUUCAACAGUGAAAGACGGUCUUGCUGUCACUUAUAGAUGGAUCCACGCUGCAUUAGCUAGUUGGUAAGGUAACGGCUUACCAAGGCAACGAUGCAUAGCCGACCUGAGAGGGUGAUCGGCCACACUGGAACUGAGACACGGUCCAGACUCCUACGGGAGGCAGCAGUAGGGAAUCUUCCGCAAUGGGCGAAAGCCUGACGGAGCAACGCCGCGUGAGUGAUGAAGGUCUUCGGAUCGUAAAACUCUGUUAUUAGGGAAGAACAUAUGUGUAAGUAACUGUGCACAUCUUGACGGUACCUAAUCAGAAAGCCACGGCUAACUACGUG